RNAcentral lists this ribosomal RNA (253 nucleotides) under uncultured bacterium. Its description in RNAcentral is "partial 16S ribosomal RNA". It matches the Rfam family "Bacterial small subunit ribosomal RNA", at positions 524 to 776 of the family's 1533-position model. The record is from RNAcentral.
UACGGAGGGUGCAAGCGUUAUCCGGAUUCACUGGGUUUAAAGGGUGCGUAGGUGGGCAGGUAAGUCAGUGGUGAAAUCUCCGAGCUUAGCUCGGAAACUGCCGUUGAUACUAUUUGUCUUGAAUAUUGUGGAGGUAAGCGGAAUAUGUCAUGUAGCGGUGAAAUGCUUAGAUAUGACAUAGAACACCAAUUGCGAAGGCAGCUUACUACACAACGAUUGACGCUGAGGCACGAAAGCGUGGGGAUCAAACAGG